UACAGAGGUCCCGAGCGUUGUUCGGAAUUAUUGGGCGUAAAGGGCGCGUAGGCGGCUUGGCAAGUGGAAGGUGAAAUCCCUCGGCUUAACCGAGGAACUGCCCUCCAAACUGCUUUGCUUGAGGCCGGGAGAGGUAAGUGGAAUUCCCAGUGUAGCGGUGAAAUGCGUAGAUAUUGGGAGGAACACCAGUGGCGAAGGCGGCUUACUGGACCGGUUCUGACGCUGAGGCGCGAAAGCGUGGGGAGCAAACGGG
RNAcentral lists this ribosomal RNA (253 nucleotides) under uncultured bacterium. Its description in RNAcentral is "partial 16S ribosomal RNA". It matches the Rfam family "Bacterial small subunit ribosomal RNA", at positions 524 to 776 of the family's 1533-position model. The record is from RNAcentral.